This 419-nucleotide ribosomal RNA is filed under the name Celeribacter halophilus. RNAcentral describes it as "bacterial SSU rRNA". It matches the Rfam family "Bacterial small subunit ribosomal RNA", at positions 157 to 615 of the family's 1533-position model. Lineage: Bacteria; Pseudomonadati; Pseudomonadota; Alphaproteobacteria; Rhodobacterales; Roseobacteraceae. The record is from RNAcentral.
CUGGGUUUAAUACCAUAUACGCCCUUCGGGGGAAAGAAUUUCGGUGAGGGAUCGGCCCGCGUUAGAUUAGUUAGUUGGUGGGGUAAUGGCCUACCAAGACUACCAUCUAUAGCUGGUUUGAGAGGAUGAUCAGCAACACUGGGACUGAAACACGGCCCAGACGCCUACGGGAGGCAUCAGUGGGCAAUCUUAGACAAUGGGGGCCACCCUGACCUACCGAUGCCGCGUGAGUGAUGAAGGCCUUACGGUCCUAAAUCUCUUUCGCCUGNGAUGAUAGUGACAGUAACAGGUAAAGAAACCCCGGCUAACUCCGUGCCGCAGCCGCGGUAAUNCGGAGAUGUUAGCUUUGUUCUGAAUUACAGGGCGUAAGCGCGCGUAGGCNCAGUGCCAGGCAGAGGUCAAAUCCCAUNNCUCACCCC